RNAcentral lists this ribosomal RNA (253 nucleotides) under uncultured archaeon. RNAcentral's name for it is "partial 16S ribosomal RNA". It matches the Rfam family "Archaeal small subunit ribosomal RNA", at positions 748 to 1001 of the family's 1478-position model. The record is from RNAcentral.
UAGCCGUAAACGAUACUCGCUAGGUGUCGGCCACGGUGCGACCGUUGUCGGUGCCGUAGGGAAGCCGUGAAGCGAGCCACCUGGGAAGUACGGCCGCAAGGCUGAAACUUAAGGAAUUGGCGGGGGAGCACAACAACGGGUGGAGCUUGCGGUUUAAUUGGAUUCAACGCCGGAAAUCUUACCGGGACCGACAGCAACAUGAAGGCCAAGCUGAAGACUUUGCCGGAUUAGCUGAGAGGAGGUGCAUGGCGUA